This 502-nucleotide unclassified non-coding RNA is filed under the name uncultured Diversispora. RNAcentral describes it as "SSU rRNA". It matches the Rfam family "Eukaryotic small subunit ribosomal RNA", at positions 569 to 1076 of the family's 1831-position model. The record is from RNAcentral. Lineage: Eukaryota; Fungi; Glomeromycota; Glomeromycetes; Diversisporales; Diversisporaceae.
AGCAGCCGCGGUAAUUCCAGCUCCAAUAGCGUAUAUUAAAGUUGUUGCAGUUAAAAGCUCGUAGUUGAACUUCGGGGUUUACUCAUUGGUCAGGCUUAAUUGUCUGUACUGGUGAGAUGAAUCUCUACCUUCUGAGGAACUUUCAUGCCAUUUAUUUGGUGUGGUUGGAAAUCAGGACUGUUACUUUGAAAAAUUGAGUGUUUAAAGCAGGCUAACGUCUGAAUACAUUAGCAUGGAAUAAUGAAAUAGGACGGAUUGAUUCUAUUUCGUUGGUUUCUAGGGUCACCGUAAUGAUUAAUAGGGAUAGUUGGGGGCAUUAGUAUUCAAUUGUCAGAGGUGAAAUUCUUGGAUUUAUUGAAGACUAACUACUGCGAAAGCAUUUGCCAAGGAUGUUUUCAUUAAUCAAGAACGAAAGUUAGGGAUCGAAGACGAUCAGAUACCGUCGUAGUCUUAACCAUAAACUAUAGCCGACUAGGGAUCGGACGCAGUUUAAUUUUAUAUG